CGUAGGAUCCGAGCGUUGUCCGGAUUUACUGGGUGUAAAGGGUGCGCAGGCGGACUGGUAAGUCAGUGGUGAAAUCUCGUCGCUUAACGACGAAACUGCCUUUGAUACUAUCAGUCUUGAGUCCGGUAGAGAUCUGUGGAAUUCCGAGUGUAGCAGUGAAAUGUGUAGAUAUUCGGAAGAACACCAGUGGCGAAGGCAGCAGAUUGGGCCGGUACUGACGCUCAUGCACGAAAGCGUGGGGAUCAAACAGGAUUAGAUACCCUGGUAGUCCACGCCCUAACCGAUGUACACUUGAUGUCGGCCUGUAAGGGUCGGUGUCGGAGCUAACGCGUUAAGUGUACCACCUGGGAGUACGCUCGCAAGGGUG
This 367-nucleotide ribosomal RNA is filed under the name uncultured organism. RNAcentral's name for it is "bacterial SSU rRNA". It matches the Rfam family "Bacterial small subunit ribosomal RNA", at positions 526 to 896 of the family's 1533-position model. The record is from RNAcentral.